Molecule: ribosomal RNA, 269 nt
Filed under: uncultured bacterium
Lineage: Bacteria
Description: partial 16S ribosomal RNA
Rfam family: Bacterial small subunit ribosomal RNA
Source: RNAcentral
UUUAGCCUACGGGGGGCAGCAGUGAGGAAUAUUGGUCAAUGGACGAGAGUCUGAACCAGCCAAGUAGCGUGAAGGAUGACUGCCCUAUGGGUUGUAAACUUCUUUUAUAAAGGAAUAAAACGAGGCACGUGUGCCUUUUUGUAUGUACUUUAUGAAUAAGGAUCGGCUAACUCCGUGCCAGCAGCCGCGGUAAUACGGAGGAUCCGAGCGUUAUCCGGAUUUAUUGGGUUUAAAGGGAGCGUAGAUGGGUUGUUACGUCAGUUGUGAAA